AGCUGUUGUAGUCAGGACUGGGGUCCAGUGGACAGAGAACAGGUGGUGGAGGCCUGGCAUAGAGGGAAAGUUGCCACUCCCUCUGCAGGAUGAACACAGACAGGCCAAAACGCAAAAUCAUUCGGAAGAGAUAUGACGUCAGCGACGGGAUGCCGUGGUGCGAGGAGCGCAUGGUCCAGAAGGUUCUCUUCCUGUCCCUGAAGGAGUUCAGGGACGCCAGGCGCCCAAGCACCCAGGGGCCACACCGACCGAGGCCCGGGGCCGCGGCACAGGAUCAGCAGAGGACACCGCGGCCGAAGCCAGGAUCGCACGCACGCACAAAAAACAAGGCACCUGUCUCCCAAGAUGGGCCAAAACCAAAGCAGGGUCGCUGGCAAACACACGCGCUGGAAAACCCCGAGGAGGAGCUAGCACUGCCACAGAUUGCCCCGGACACCUGUUCGCCCCAAGGCAAACGCCACGGCCUUCAAACCGCACAGAUGCUCGUCGAGGUCCUGCCAGCAGCCAAGCUCGCACGUCGAAGACCAGCGACAGGCGCGCCACAGAACAGCCACUCGCUAGCGGGCGUUGCCGUCGCUCAGCCCAGAACACUGCGCUCACACAGAGCACAGAGCCUUCUCGCGUUCUUGAACACGUCCAAGCCACAGCGCGCGGCUCCGCCGACCCCGCAGGACACCCGCCCGAAAUGCGAGGAAGGGCUGAACGGCACUCGUGUCGCGCAAAGCACGUCCACGCAGACGGUCCCCACCAGGAUUCUGAGGUCCCACACACCUACCGCCCGCCUCAAUGGUGCUCCCAGACAGGUUCCAGCUCUGCUAUCCACCAAUGAGAGACAGGGACUGACCCUGCAGGCCUAUCAUCAGCAUCGUCACGGCAACAUGGGUCAUGGUAGAGAUGACCCGGCCAACCAGAGGUUCUGUGGCAUUGCCGAACAGCAUGGCCGUCUUAGGUAGUUGCCGGAAAAAGGAAUCCGCUGUCACUUCAUGUCUUCCCAGCAGUCUAGGGCGGCCGACGGAGAAAGGCAGGACUACAGCCUUCAGGAGAAAAGCCCGCCACGGCAUGGCCCCCAGGCCGCUGAGGAGGCUGGGGGUGGCGGCCCUCCUCCUCCGGGGGGCCGGAGACACGGAGGCCGCCGGCAAGCGGAGAUACGGACUGUGUUCCAACGCCGCCGCCGCCGCCGCCUCCUUCGCUCCGAGGAAACUGAGCCUAAGGGAAAGGAAGAUGAGGGAGGGGAAAGGAGAAGGGAAGCCGACGGGGAACGGUGGAAGAGAGAAGAGGGCAGGGGGGAGAGUCGAGGGGAGGAGGAAGAGAGAGCCGGUUCGUGUCCUGCGACCUCGCCAGCUCUCUCUGCAGGUUGCCAUGGUGACUGGGCUCUCUGAUCAACACACUUCCUAUGUACUACAAGCGCCGCCAAUCAAGUCUAAAUCGACCAAUAGCAGCAGACGUUCCGGACCCUAUUCUAGGGAGAGCAAAGCUAGUUUGCCCAGAAGGCCCCAUGUGAGCAUUAAACACCACAUUACCCGUAGAAACCUAAAAACAUACACAAAUCACAGAAUGCCUCAGAACCAGCAUGGCACUUGCAACCACAGAAUUGCCUCUGUUCAUCAUUGCCAACUCAGGAACCUUGCAUGUUCCCAAUCUUCAAGGGAGAACUCUGCCAGGACCCCAGUCAAAACACCAGGCCCGAACAGAAUGCUUUAUGCAAAUCCAGCAGCUAAUAGCUCAGCUAUGAGGCACCCAAACAAACGCGUCAGUGAGCAUUCUGGGGUCGUGAGACUGUCCAGGAGAAUGAGAGGCCUUCCACCAGAUACCGGUCUUAAUCUUUUAAACGCUCUAUUUGCAAUGCCAAGCAACAACUGCAUGAACCUGAGGAACGGCCAGAUACAGCAACACAAAGGCUCCAAGAUGACGUUGCAUGGCAUACAACGCGGCACCGAGGUCCUCCGAGAGAGGCUGGGGUUUGACCCCAAGGCUCCCAAAAGGGAGACGAGGCUCGACCGCGGUGUCGGAGCCCGUGAAGCAGCGGAGGACAGCAUCAGGUGUGCGGAGGACGUGGCGGUGGGAGACACGGUGUCGACGCAGGGGACCGUAGGUAAGAGCGGGGUGGACAGGGACACUGAGGAGAUUGGUAAGGACGGUGACUGUCUUUUCAGCGAGGACGGGAAGGACAUCUGCCAACAGCCGUUAGGAAGAGAUGGACGGGAAGUCAGCGGUCGUCUUGUUGAGGGCGAACAACAGACCCCGGGCUGCGCUAGUCUGGACAGAUUGAGGAGCAGGAAAAUGAUGUGCGAGGCAGAUCACAGGAGCUGCGGCGACACUAGUGAGGUUGUGUUGUGUCAAGGCCACGUCGAUAGCUCCGCAGAAGAGGACAACGGCGAUGUAGCUUCAGUCCCAUCCAAACCAGCACCACCUACAAGGACUGUCACCAGAGCGGCAGUGGCCAAGGCCAAUGCGGCAAAUACAUCGUUAACGUAUACCAGUGUAGAUUCAGGUGAAAGAACAAACUGUUCUGCCAGGGGUGCUAAGCCAAAUCACAACAGCACAAACAAAUUCACAAGUGCAGCCAACUGUCCCUUCGACAAUACCAACCGGGGGACCUCUAAGGAGUCAUUCAAUGCUCUCAGUAAGAACUUAUCAAAGGGCACUGCUCCAAACGGCAGGAAUCCUAACACCACUUCCAAAGGGCCAAUAAAGCCUUCUACCUCUGUCGCUAAGACCAGAACGAGCCCUAGGAACCUGAAGCCGUAG
This 2748-nucleotide long non-coding RNA is filed under the name Gadus morhua (Atlantic cod). RNAcentral describes it as "lncRNA (ENSGMOG00000027334.1)". The record is from RNAcentral. Lineage: Eukaryota; Metazoa; Chordata; Actinopteri; Gadiformes; Gadidae.